UGCGUAGGUGGUUAUUUAAGUCCGUUGUGAAAGCCCUGGGCUCAACCUGGGGAACUGCAGUGGAUACUGGAUGACUAGAAUGUGGUAGAGGGUAGCGGAAUUCCUGGUGUAGCAGUGAAAUGCGUAGAGAUCAGGAGGAACAUCCAUGGCGAAGGCAGCUACCUGGACCAACAUUGACACUGAGGAGCGAAAGCGUGGGGAGCGAACA
Molecule: ribosomal RNA, 208 nt
Filed under: uncultured bacterium
Lineage: Bacteria
Description: partial 16S ribosomal RNA
Rfam family: Bacterial small subunit ribosomal RNA
Source: RNAcentral